UGACAUAAUCACAAAGAGUGUAGAUAAGGCAAUAUACCAGAUAAGAUCUGCAGCACAGAACUUUCCAAAAUGGAAGGAACUACGCUCUGAUUCCAGCUCAGUGGUGGGGAAUUAAAUAGAAGGGAGAACUUCACCAAGUGGGGAUAUUUCCUUCUGCCCCAGUUGUGAGCAGAGUUGGGGGUCCAGGGGCCUGUUUUGGAAGCCUGUUUCUGGACUAGCUCUAUGACAAAGUUGGUGAAAAAUGGAGAAUGGCUUUCAGAGGGCAGUUUUAAUCCAUUGGGAUGGAAAUUUAGGAGUGGAGCCUGUAGGAUAUAGUGUUACUAAGCUGUUUUUGGCUUUUUUCUAAGCGUCCUUUAUUCCCUUAAUUAAACCCUUGAUUUAUAAGGGUUAUGUAUUAUUCUUUUUUCUUUCUUUUUUUUUUUGUCUUUUUGCCAUUUCUUGGGCCACUCCCAUGGCAUAUGGAGGUUCCCAGGCUAGGAAUCGAAUCUGAGUUGUAGCUGCCAGCCUACGCCAGAGCCACAGCAACUCGGGAUUUGAGCCGCAUCUGCAGCCUACACCACAGGUCAUGGCAAUGCCGGUCGUUAACCCACUGAGCAAGGGCAGGGAUGGAACCCGCAACCUCAUGGUUUCUAGUCGGAUUCAUUAACCACUGUGCCACAACGAGAACUCCAAUGUAUUAUUCUUCAUUUCCUUUAAGGUAUAAUGUCUGGCAGAGGGAGGUUUUAUCAGAAUUUUUAUUUUAUUUUAUUUUAUGGCCAUACCCAUGGCAUAUGAAGUUCCUGGGCCAGGAGUUGAAUCUGAGCCACAACUGCAGCCUAUGCCACAGCUGCAGCAACACUGGAUCCUUUAACCUACUGUGCCAGGGUGGGAAGCAAACCAUACCUCCACAGCAACUUGAGCCACUCAAGUCAGAUUCUUAACCUGCUGGGCCACAGCAGAACUCCCAGAACUUUUUUUAAAAAAAAUUUUUUUUUUUCCUACUUCUUCCUCAGAAAAAAAGUUUGUAGAUCUGAUCCAUUAUAGGAGAAAUUUGUUUGGUUUGGGUUUCCAAAUAAAAGAGGUACAAAAAAUUUCAUCAAAGAGCCACUAAGAUAUAAAGAGUUAGAAGACCAAAAGUGAAAAGUUAAUGGAACCAGAAUUAAACAGUAUAGGAAAGAAAACUACUGAUUUUUUCCCAUUACUUUAGGCUAAUUUUAGCCCUGUUACCCUCUCGAGCCCCUAGGUGUAUUGUUUUGCAUAGAGUUUUGUGUUGUCACAUCUAUGAUACAGCAUGUAUCAAUAUUUUCUUUUAUGGCUGAAAAAUAUUCCAUUGUGUGGAUAUGCCACACUUUGUUUACCUAUUCAUCAGUUGAUAGACAUAUUUUCAGUUCUCUUAGAUACAUAUUUGGGAGUAGAACUGCUAAGUCAUGUGGUGUAAUCUUAGGUUUAACCAUAUGAGGAACUGCAAAUCUGUUUUCCAAAGGGCUGCACUCUUUUACAUUCCCACCAGCAAUGUAGAGUUAGCAUAUCUCCACAUCCUCACCAAUGCUUGUUACUGUGUUUUUUGUUGUUGGUGGUGGUGGUUUUCGUUUAUUUUUGGUUUUUUUGCAUUUUAGGGCCACACACCAGCAGCACAUGGAAGUUCUCUGGCUAGGUGUUGAAUUGGAGCUGCAGCUGCUGGCCACAGCCACAGUAACGCUGGAUCCCCAGCCCACCUAGUGAAGCCAAGAAUCAAACCUGCAUCCUCAUGGAUACCACUCGGGCUCAUUACGGGGCUGAGCCACAUGGGAACUUCUGUUACAGUGUUUUUGAACUGCCAUCCUAAUAGGUGUGAAGUAGUAUCGUGCAGUUCCCUAAUGAUUAGUAUGUUCAAGCAUCUUUUCAUUUGCUUAUUGGUCAUUUGUAUAUCUUUUUGGAAAAAUAUCCAUUCAAGUCCUUUUCUCUCUCUCUCUUUCUUUUUUUUUUUGACUUUUUAGGGCUGCACCUGUGGCAUAUGGAGACUCCCAGGCUAGGAGUUGGAUUGGAGCUGUAGCCAUUGACCUAUACCACAGCCAUAGCAAUGCCGAAUCCUUAACCCACCGAGUGAGGCCAGGGAUCAAAUCUUUGUCUUCAUGGUUACUAGUCAGAUUCGUUUCCGCUGAGCCAUGAUGGAAACUCCCCUUUUCUCAUUUUUAAAUUCACAUACUUGUCUUUUUAUUGUUGAAUUACAAGUGUUAUUUAUGUAUUUUGGAUAUAAGUCCCUUAACAGAUACAUGAUUUGCAAAUAUUUUCUUCCGCCGUGUGGGUUGGCUUUCUUGGUGGUAUCCUUUGAGGUGUAAAGGCUUUUAAUUUUGAUUAAUACCAGGUUAUCUUUUGGUUCUUUUGUUGCUCAUGCUUUUGAUGAGAAACCAUUGCCUAAUACAAGAUCACGAAUUUGCUGUGUUGUCUUCUAAGAAUUUUAUAGUUUUAAUUCUAUUUAAGUCAGUGUGGGUUAAGGAUCCGGUGUUGCCAUGAGCUGUGGUGUAGGUUGCAGACUCAGCUCGGAUCUCGCGUUGCUGUGGCUGUGGUGUAGGCCAGCGGCUAUGGCUCCAAUUGAACCCCUAGCCUGGGAACCUACCUCCAUAUGCUGUGGGAGCAGCCCAAGAAAUGGCAAAAAGAUAAAAAAAAGAAAAAA
Molecule: long non-coding RNA, 2632 nt
Filed under: Sus scrofa (pig)
Lineage: Eukaryota; Metazoa; Chordata; Mammalia; Artiodactyla; Suidae
Description: lncRNA (ENSSSCG00045008502.1)
Source: RNAcentral